UAACCUGCCUUAUAGUGGGGGAGUAGCCUUUCGAAAGGAAGAUUAAUACCGCAUAAGAUUGUAGUAUCGCAUGAUAUAGCAAUUAAAGGAGCAAUUCGCUAUAAGAUGGACCCGCGUCGCAUUAGCUAGUUGGUGAGGUAAUGGCUCACCAAGGCGACGAUGCGUAGCCGACCUGAGAGGGUGAACGGCCACAUUGGGACUGAGACACGGCCCAGACUCCUACGGGAGGCAGCAUG
RNAcentral lists this ribosomal RNA (236 nucleotides) under uncultured bacterium. Its description in RNAcentral is "partial 16S ribosomal RNA". It matches the Rfam family "Bacterial small subunit ribosomal RNA", at positions 122 to 353 of the family's 1533-position model. The record is from RNAcentral.